AGCAGCCGCGGUAAUUCCAGCUCCAAUAGCGUAUAUUAAAGUUGUUGCAGUUAAAAAGCUCGUAGUUGAAUUUCGGGGUUAGUAGGUUGGUCAUGCCUCUGGUAUGUACUGGUCUCACUGAUUCCUCCUUCCUGAUGAGCCGUAAUGCCAUUAAUUUGGUGUCGCAGGGAAUCAGGACUGUUACUUUGAAAAAUUAGAGUGUUUAAAGCAAGCUAACGCUUGAAUACAUUAGCAUGGAAUAAUGAAAUAGGACGUUCGAUCCUAUUUUGUUGGUUUCUAGGAUUGACGUAAUGAUUAAUAGGGAUAGUUGGGGGCAUUAGUAUUCAAUUGUCAGAGGUGAAAUUCUUGGAUUUAUUGAAGACUAACUACUGCGAAAGCAUUUGCCAAGGAUGUUUUCAUUAAUCAAGAACGAAAGUUAGGGGAUCGAAGACGAUCAGAUACCGUCGUAGUCUUAACCAUAAACUAUGCCGACUAGGGAUCGGAUGAUGUUAAUUUUUAAUGACUACAUUACGGCG
Molecule: unclassified non-coding RNA, 515 nt
Filed under: uncultured Glomus
Lineage: Eukaryota; Fungi; Glomeromycota; Glomeromycetes; Glomerales; Glomeraceae
Description: SSU rRNA
Rfam family: Eukaryotic small subunit ribosomal RNA
Source: RNAcentral